GGAGAGGACAAGAAUUUGUACCAUCCUAGGGCACUGUCAUAUCAAAGUUAACUUAGCUCUGGAGCGUGGUCAAACAGUGGGAGACAUGACCACCAGGCUGACUCUGGCAGACCUACCUUGAAGUGAGCUAUGAUAGUGUGAGAUGGCCUUGCAGCAGCAGCUGGGAAAAGAUAAGAGUGACACCAUCAAGAGGCAGAAGAGCAGUAUUCUUCUAUGUGUGUUUCAAAAAUAUAACCCUACUGAGAAAUUUCCUGGUAAAAUCUCUUUUAUAGAGAAAUCUGAAAAUUAUGACAUCAGAUCAUGUCUUCAGUUCAACCCGGAGAGAGUAACAGAGGAAAAGAGAGAAGAGGGAGAGAGAAAGCACAAGCAUGGGGAAGGCCAGAGGAAGAAGGAGAAGCAGGAUUCCUGCCGUGCAGGGAGCCUGACGAGGGGCUAGGAUCCUGGGACCAUGACCUGAGCUGAAAGCCAAUGCUUAACUGAUUGAGCCUCCCAGGGAUCCCCAUAAUUAUUAAUAUUGUUAUUACUAUUAUUACCUAUAGAUAAAGACUCUACCCAGAUGAUAAAAGCAAAUGUUAUUGUAUGAAUUGUUGGCUUAAAUUCUAAAUCCUAAAUCUUAGAGAGCUUGAUACCUUUGUACCUUUGUGUUUAAUUCACAACUCAUUAAAGUGCAUGG
This 673-nucleotide long non-coding RNA is filed under the name Mustela putorius furo (domestic ferret). RNAcentral's name for it is "lncRNA (ENSMPUG00000030343.1)". The record is from RNAcentral. Lineage: Eukaryota; Metazoa; Chordata; Mammalia; Carnivora; Mustelidae.